UCGAUGAAACCCAAUUAAAAACAGUCUCUUUGAAAUGUAUGAAAGCGAUCCUCGCAGUAAUGAAUCCUACUUAUGUAGUAAUGGAAAUAUGACCUGAAAAAAAUUCAGGCAUGUACAGGAUUUGAACCCAUGACCUUUGUCUGGUGACAAUUCUUGAAAUCAUCGUUAACGUUUUUUUCCUCUUUCUCUUUGUUGUAGUCUCGAGACGUAGACAGGAAAAAUCCCAAAGCAGUGAAAAAAGCAAAUAUGUAUUAUUUCAUUGCAUCAGCCAUUGCAUUGUUCGUGUCAUUAAUCAUCAACAUAUUCGUGGUCGUAGUAUUUGUUAGAGCAUUUUAUAAAAGGACGUAUGGAG
This is a long non-coding RNA of Stylophora pistillata, 352 nucleotides long. The record is from RefSeq and is a predicted model, not a curated record. Lineage: Eukaryota; Metazoa; Cnidaria; Anthozoa; Scleractinia; Pocilloporidae.